RNAcentral lists this unclassified non-coding RNA (240 nucleotides) under rhizosphere metagenome. Its description in RNAcentral is "partial ribosomal RNA internal transcribed spacer region". The record is from RNAcentral.
GAAUUCAUAAUUCGGCGAGGGGAACGCGGAGGGUUGUAGCUGGCCUUUUUACCGAGGCACGUGCACGCUCUCUUCCGAACUCUCGCCGUAUGGGCGCGGGGCAACCCGCGUCUUUCAUCCCACCUCUUCGUGUAGAAAGUCUUUGAAUGUUUUUACCAUCAUCGAGUCGCGACUUCUAGGAGACGCGAUUCUUUGAGACAAAAGUUUAUUACAACUUUCAGCAAUGGAUCUCUUGGCUCU